Molecule: ribosomal RNA, 250 nt
Filed under: uncultured prokaryote
Description: partial 16S ribosomal RNA
Rfam family: Bacterial small subunit ribosomal RNA
Source: RNAcentral
UACAGAGGUCCCGAGCGUUGUUCGGAUUUACUGGGCGUAAAGGGUGCGUAGGCGGUGGCGCGUGUCGGAUGUGAAAUCUCCGGGCUCAACCCGGAAAGUGCGUCCGAAACUGCAUCACUAGAGUGUGGGACGGGAGAUCGGAAUAUAGGGUGUAGCGGUGAAAUGCGUUGAUAUCCUAUAGAACACCGGUGGCGAAGGCGGAUCUCUGGAACACAACUGACGCUCAGGCACGAAAGUCGGGGGAGCAAAC